Molecule: ribosomal RNA, 544 nt
Filed under: uncultured bacterium
Lineage: Bacteria
Description: bacterial SSU rRNA
Rfam family: Bacterial small subunit ribosomal RNA
Source: RNAcentral
AAUAGAUACCCAGGUAGUCCAUGCCGUAAACGUUGGGCACUAGGUGUGGGGGACAUUCCACGUUUUCCGCGCCGUAGCUAACGCAUUAAGUGCCCCGCCUGGGGAGUACGGCCGCAAGGCUAAAACUCAAAGGAAUUGACGGGGGCCCGCACAAGCGGCGGAGCAUGCGGAUUAAUUCGAUGCAACGCGAAGAACCUUACCAAGGCUUGACAUGAACCAGACCGGGCUGGAAACAGUCCUUCCCCUUGUGGGUUGGUUUACAGGUGGUGCAUGGUUGUCGUCAGCUCGUGUCGUGAGAUGUUGGGUUAAGUCCCGCAACGAGCGCAACCCUCGUUCUAUGUUGCCAGCACGUGAUGGUGGGGACUCAUAGGAGACUGCCGGGGUCAACUCGGAGGAAGGUGGGGACGACGUCAAAUCAUCAUGCCCCUUAUGUCUUGGGCUUCACGCAUGCUACAAUGGCCGGUACAAAGGGUUGCGAUACUGUGAGGUGGAGCUAAUCCCAAAAAGCCGGUCUCAGUUCGGAUUGGGGUCUGCACUCGACCCC